GGCGACUGAACGGUGUAGUGGUUAGUGACUCUGACUGCUAUGCCGAAGGUCCCGGGUUCGAUCCCCGGCCGCGCCA
Molecule: transfer RNA, 76 nt
Filed under: Plutella xylostella (diamondback moth)
Lineage: Eukaryota; Metazoa; Arthropoda; Insecta; Lepidoptera; Plutellidae
Description: tRNA-Ser
Source: RNAcentral